GAUGAACGCUGGCGGCGUGCCUAAUACAUGCAAGUCGAGCGAACAGACGAGGAGCUUGCUCCUCUGACGUUAGCGGCGGACGGGUGAGUAACACGUGGAUAACCUACCUAUAAGACUGGGAUAACUUCGGGAAACCGGAGCUAAUACCGGAUAAUAUAUUGAACCGCAUGGUUCAAUAGUGAAAGACGGUUUUGCUGUCACUUAUAGAUGGAUCCGCGCCGCAUUAGCUAGUUGGUAAGGUAACGGCUUACCAAGGCGACGAUGCGUAGCCGACCUGAGAGGGUGAUCGGUCACACUGGAACUGAGACACGGUCCAGACUCCUACGGGAGGCAGCAGUAGGGAAUCUUCCGCAAUGGGCGAAGGCCUGACGGAGCAACGCCGCGUGAGUGAUGAAGGUCUUCGGAUCGUAAAACUCUGUUAUUAGGGAAGAACAAAUGUGUAAGUAACUAUGCACGUCUUGACGGUACCUAAUCAGAAAGCCACGGCUAACUACGUG
Molecule: ribosomal RNA, 497 nt
Filed under: uncultured bacterium
Lineage: Bacteria
Description: partial 16S ribosomal RNA
Rfam family: Bacterial small subunit ribosomal RNA
Source: RNAcentral